Non-coding RNA from Parelaphostrongylus tenuis, 73 nucleotides. The record is from the annotation of a GenBank genome assembly. NCBI's taxonomy places the organism in Eukaryota, Metazoa, Nematoda, Chromadorea, Rhabditida, Metastrongylidae.
GCGUCGGUAGUGUAGCGGUUGGGCACGCGCUCCCGGAUAGGGUUAAAUGUGGGAUCGAAUCCCAACUGACGCA